GGGCCGGUAGCUCAGUGGUCAGAGCAAGGGACUUUUAAUCCUUUGGUCGUGGGUUCGAAUCCCACCCGGCUCG
Molecule: transfer RNA, 73 nt
Filed under: Chloroflexota bacterium
Lineage: Bacteria; Bacillati; Chloroflexota
Description: tRNA-Lys
Rfam family: tRNA
About the family: Transfer RNA (tRNA) molecules are approximately 80 nucleotides in length. Their secondary structure includes four short double-helical elements and three loops (D, anti-codon, and T loops). Further hydrogen bonds mediate the characteristic L-shaped molecular structure. tRNAs have two regions of fundamental functional importance: the anti-codon, which is responsible for specific mRNA codon recognition, and the 3' end, to which the tRNAs corresponding amino acid is attached (by aminoacyl-tRNA synthetases). tRNAs cope with the degeneracy of the genetic code in two manners: having more than one tRNA (with a specific anti-codon) for a particular amino acid; and 'wobble' base-pairing, i.e. permitting non-standard base-pairing at the 3rd anti-codon position.
Source: RNAcentral